GGGGAUUUAGCUUAGUGGUAGAGCGCUUGCCUAGGAAGCAUAAGGCCCUGGGUUCGGUUCCCAGCUCCG
Molecule: transfer RNA, 69 nt
Filed under: Rattus norvegicus (Norway rat)
Lineage: Eukaryota; Metazoa; Chordata; Mammalia; Rodentia; Muridae
Rfam family: tRNA
About the family: Transfer RNA (tRNA) molecules are approximately 80 nucleotides in length. Their secondary structure includes four short double-helical elements and three loops (D, anti-codon, and T loops).
Source: Rfam by way of RNAcentral